Molecule: unclassified non-coding RNA, 158 nt
Filed under: uncultured Helotiales
Lineage: Eukaryota; Fungi; Ascomycota; Leotiomycetes; Helotiales
Description: sequence contains ITS1
Source: RNAcentral
CAGAGUUCGUGCCCUUCGGGGUAGACCUCCCACCCUUUGUAUACCUACCUUUGUUGCUUUGGCGGGCCGUCGCAAGACCGGCGGCUUCGGCUGUCGUGUGCCCGCCAGAGGACCCCAAACUCUGAAUACAGUGUCGUCUGAGUACUAUAUAAUAGUUA